UUAGCGCCAGACCAUUAAAUUGGUGACGAGGAAGUAGUUAUCGAAAAUUCGGCGGAUGCUACUACGGUUAAGUGAACCGUUAAGGUAUAUAUAAAAAGCAAAAUCAACAUUGUAACAAAGAAUAUAUCACA
This 131-nucleotide non-coding RNA is filed under the name pig gut metagenome. Its description in RNAcentral is "glmS glucosamine-6-phosphate activated ribozyme". It matches the Rfam family "glmS glucosamine-6-phosphate activated ribozyme aptamer", at positions 11 to 160 of the family's 167-position model. From Rfam's summary of the family: This entry contains a glucosamine-6-phosphate activated ribozyme that is found in the mRNA for GlmS. The record is from RNAcentral.